RNAcentral lists this small RNA (1000 nucleotides) under Raffaelea fusca. Its description in RNAcentral is "SSU rRNA". It matches the Rfam family "Eukaryotic small subunit ribosomal RNA", at positions 76 to 1086 of the family's 1831-position model. Lineage: Eukaryota; Fungi; Ascomycota; Sordariomycetes; Ophiostomatales; Ophiostomataceae. The record is from RNAcentral.
GUACUGCGAAACUGCGAAUGGCUCAUUAAAUCAGUUAUCGUCUAUUUGAUAGUACCUUACUACUUGGAUAACCGUGGUAAUUCUAGAGCUAAUACAUGCUGAAAACCCCGACUUCGGAAGGGAUGUAUUUAUUAGAUUAAAAACCAAUGCCCUUCUGGGCUCCCUGGUGAUUCAUGAUAACUUCUCGAAUCGCACGGCCUUGCGCCGGCGAUGGUUCAUUCAAAUUUCUGCCCUAUCAACUUUCGACGGCUGGGUCUUGGCCAGCCAUGGUGACAACGGGUAACGGAGGGUUAGGGCUCGACCCCGGAGAAGGAGCCUGAGAAACGGCUACUACAUCCAAGGAAGGCAGCAGGCGCGCAAAUUACCCAAUCCCGACACGGGGAGGUAGUGACAAUAAAUACUGAUACAGGGCUCUUUUGGGUCUUGUAAUUGGAAUGAGUACAAUUUAAUUCCCUUAACGAGGAACAAUUGGAGGGCAAGUCUGGUGCCAGCAGCCGCGGUAAUUCCAGCUCCAAUAGCGUAUAUUAAAGUUGUUGCAGUUAAAAAGCUCGUAGUUGAACCUUGGGCCUGGCUGGCCGGUCCGCCUCACCGCGUGCACUGGUCCGGCCGGGCCUUUCCCUCUGGGGAGCCGCAUGCCCUUCACUGGGCGUGUCGGGGAACCAGGACGUUUACUUUGAAAAAAUUAGAGUGUUCAAAGCAGGCUUAUGCUCGGAUACAUUAGCAUGGAAUAAUAGAAUAGGACGUGCGGUUCUAUUUUGUUGGUUUCUAGGACCGCCGUAAUGAUUAAUAGGGACAGUCGGGGGCAUCAGUAUUCAGUUGUCAGAGGUGAAAUUCUUGGAUUUACUGAAGACUAACUACUGCGAAAGCAUUUGCCAAGGAUGUUUUCAUUAAUCAGGAACGAAAGUUAGGGGAUCGAAGACGAUCAGAUACCGUCGUAGUCUUAACCAUAAACUAUGCCGACUAGGGAUCGGACGGUGUUAUUUUUUGACCCGUUCGGCAC